RNAcentral lists this unclassified non-coding RNA (100 nucleotides) under Oryza sativa (Asian cultivated rice). RNAcentral describes it as "partial microRNA MIR469e precursor". Lineage: Eukaryota; Viridiplantae; Streptophyta; Magnoliopsida; Poales; Poaceae. The record is from RNAcentral.
AUCAAUUUGCCACAUAAGUGCCACGUCACUGCCACGUCAUAUGAAGACCGAGUCAAAUUAGCCACGUAGGCGCCAUGUCAGCAAAAACCGCCAUCCAAAC